CACGCUGUAAACGAUGGAUGCUAGCCGUCAGCCAGCAUGCUGGUUGGUGGCGCAGCUAACGCAUUAAGCAUCCCGCCUGGGGAGUACGGCCGCAAGGUUAAAACUCAAAGGAAUUGACGGGGGCCCGCACAAGCGGUGGAGCAUGUGGUUUAAUUCGACGCAACGCGAAGAACCUUACCAGCCCUUGACAUGGACCGGAAUGCCCGCAGAGACGUGGGCAGCCGCAAGGUCGGUCCACAGGUGU
RNAcentral lists this ribosomal RNA (244 nucleotides) under uncultured Alphaproteobacteria bacterium. RNAcentral describes it as "partial 16S ribosomal RNA". It matches the Rfam family "Bacterial small subunit ribosomal RNA", at positions 796 to 1041 of the family's 1533-position model. Lineage: Bacteria; Pseudomonadati; Pseudomonadota; Alphaproteobacteria. The record is from RNAcentral.